CAUUAAAGAGUUCUAUAACUCCCAAACCCAUGUGAACAUACCUAACGUUGCCUCGGCAGGUCGCACCUACCUUGUAGCACCCUACCCUGUAGGGCCUACCCGGGAGGUGCGGGUAAGCCUGCCGGCGGCCCACCAAACUCUGUUUGAUAUUGAAUUCUGAACCUAUAACUAAAUAAGUUAAAACUUUCAACAACGGAUCUCUUGGUUCUGGCAUCGAUGAAGAACGCAGCGAAAUGCGAUAAGUAAUGUGAAUUGCAGAAUUCAGUGAAUCAUCGAAUCUUUGAACGCAUAUUGCGCCCAUUAGUAUUCUAGUGGGCAGGACCGUUCGAGCGUCAUUUCAACCCUUAAGCCUUCGUUGCUUAGUGUUGGGAGCCUACGGCAACGUAGCUCCUCAAAGUUAGUGGCGGAGUUGGUUCACACUCUAGACGUAGUAAUUUUUUAUCUCGCCUAUUAGUUGGACUAAUCCCCUGCCGUAAAACCCCCAAUUUAUCAAGGUUGACCUCGAAUCGGUUCAGACAAACUCGCUAAAUUGAAGCAUCUUAGUCAGCGAAGGAAAAGAAACCAACAGGGAUUGCCCUAGUAACGGCGAGUGAAGCGGCAACAGCUCAAAUUUGAAA
RNAcentral lists this ribosomal RNA (617 nucleotides) under fungal endophyte. Its description in RNAcentral is "eukaryotic LSU rRNA". The stretch from base 182 to 335 matches the Rfam family "5.8S ribosomal RNA". The record is from RNAcentral. Lineage: Eukaryota; Fungi.